This is a non-coding RNA of Microcebus murinus (gray mouse lemur), 5407 nucleotides long. The record is from RefSeq and is a predicted model, not a curated record. Lineage: Eukaryota; Metazoa; Chordata; Mammalia; Primates; Cheirogaleidae.
CUUUGCCUCCCUGUUACUGCGGGACCUCGGGUGUCUGCACCCUCUGAGCUCUGGUUUCCUCAUCUACAGGACAAGGUGCUGCCCCUCGGGGUCUCCACCACGGUGUGACCUCCUCGGAGCGGGCAGUGCAGAGUGCAGGACUGGAGCCGGGGCAGGAGUGGGCACUGUCCUCGGCCCCUGUCCACACCCUCCCUGCCUCAGCAUCACACGCCAUCUCCCCGUGGCUGGUGCAGCGCAUGUUCCGCAGCCUGGAUGGCAUCCUCAUUGGCUGGAACCUCCGCUACAGGCCUGCGUGGACCUCGUGGGGCUCGGGGUCGCCAUGCAAUUUUUAGGCCCUGGAGAGGGCCGUGAAGGUGUCCACCCAGGAUCGCGUCCCCCCCCUCUGUCUGUCCCACGAGUGCCUGUGGGGAGGGCCGGCCACUGCAGCACGCAGCGGGGUUCCUGCUCUGCAGGAGCAGCUGCAGAGGGCCGAGGGCCAGGAGGGAGGAGCAGUGUCCUGGUGAAGCGUCUGGCUCUGUUCACCCCAUGUCGGGAGAGGUGGCGAGGGAGGCUGUGGCUCGUGGGAAAUGCAAGAGCUUUGUGGACGCUUCCUCAGGAAGUGAGCGGGUGGAGGCCAAGUGGCACUGUGGCCCGGGUCCCUGCUGGGAACGUGGCCCAGGAGGGGUGCAGAGUUGGAAGAGCCAGUGCAGCCUGGAAACCUGUGGGAAAAUAUCCUGCAGGGUUCCUGUGGCUGGGCGGGGCGCAGCAAGAGUCGGGCCCAGACUCUGCAGGACGGCCCGGAAGCAGGUGCUCGCUCAAGCCGGGGAAGGUGGGUUCCCGGUUCCCGUGUGGGUGCUGUCCCCUCCUCUUAGCCGCAGGGACGAUACCAUGGGUGAGGAUCCCAGGCCGGGUGGGAUGGAAGGACCAGGAUCGGGACCAGAGCAGGAGAAGGCUCCUGCUGGAGCCUCACCGCCUGGCACUGGCGCCCCUCUGCUCCCCUAGUCUGUUAGUGCUGGGGGGUGUUGUGUCCCCUGCUAUUCUCCUUCCUUCAGAAUCGUGCAGAUUCAUCGCACAAACACGUAGAUACAGACAAGCAGAAGAAACUGCCUCCCACCCUGUAGUUCCAUCCUCAGACUUAGCCCCUGACCUGUGGGCUGUCACCGGCAUGUGUGCAGGUGUUUUCAUGGCGGGGAGACCUGAGUUGACAGUGCUGUGGGCAGUGGCCCGUGCCGGGGCUGGGUGAGUCUUGCAGACCCAGGCCAAGCACUCCGCCCAACCCCGGGGCGCUGGUCUCAGUUCAGACCAAGCAGCGCGACUGCUGGGUGCCAGGCACGCUGGUGCCCCGGGGACUGGCCCCACUCCCAGCCUGGCUGGUGCCUCUGUCAGGAGCAGAGUGAGCAGCCCAGGGGCGCAUGUGGUUGGACUGGGGGCUGAGCAAUGUGGAUGUUGCAGAGCUCCCUGGGCCUCCUCCACCUCUACCGUAGGGCUCGUUCGCGCCCACCGAGGAGUGCGUGCCGGGGCAGCGCCUGCUGCUGGAGUGUCUGCUCGCCUUUGCCAGCAGCCUGAAGCCGGAGCAGGCUUCUCCCUCUGGCCGCUCCCAGGCCGCCGCCCCCUGGAGGAAUUCACACAGUGGGUGCAGGCCAUGGGCUGGCUCCUGUGGCUUCUGGCUGCUGCCGUCACCCUCCCCCUGGCCAGGUGUCACGCACAGCCCCUCUGCCCAGGACACGGGGCACGGCAAGGCGCUGCAGGGCUGGGGCUGCGCAGCCCUGACCCCUCUCAAGCCUGUCUCCUCGCCCCCCAGCUGCUGGCCCCUGGCUGCAGCUGCUCCCCAGGCCUUCCCUGCAGCCCUGCCCUCUGCAGUGCAAAGAGCCACGUUGGCCAGAGAGGGGCCCCAUCCUGCUGCUCUCUUGUCCCUUCAUCCACAGGGGCAGCAGAAGUGGGAGCUCGGCACUAUGGCAAUCUGCUCCCCACCCCCCAUCCGUCAGGAGAAGGGCAGGGACCCAGGCCUGACUCCUGGCCUGACUGGGGCCUGCCGAGCGGGUGACUUGUGUAGGGCUGAGGUCAGGUGCACACAGGAGCCAUACUGGCUUGGCCACCUUCGUGCUGUGUGUCCUUGGGACUUUCCUUACCCUCUCUAAUGUUGGUUUCCUCUCUGAAGAGUGGGUCUAGCUCCAGGGGUGCCCAGCGCUCUCCAGCGGCAGAGCCUCGCCUCGCUAACAGAGGUGCUGGGUGAGCAGCAGGUGACCCCCCUCCCCUGCAGGGCUGCUGUCCCGAGGUUUGUCCAGCAGAAGCUCUACCUCUUCCUGCAGCACUGCUUCGGCCACUGGCCCCUGGAUGCGUCGUUCAGAGCCCUGGGAGAAGCCCGCUGGCGAUCCUGGCUUCCAGAGGGCUGCGCCGGGCCUGCCUGUUGUGUCUCUGGGGAUGCGGGAAGAGCCCACCACUCCCCAGCAUCUGCACUGAGGUCAAGGAGAAGCUGCCAGAACCUGGAGUGGACCCCCUGCCUAGCUGUGUUCUGGGAGCCGGGCUCCAGGCUACUGGAGGAUGUGACUAGAAGCCCAGAGCCCAGCCCCACGGCCACCAGCCGCUGGGCCCUUAACUCCUGAGCUGGGCACAGCUGGUGUUAGCCUCCCUGUCACCCUUCUACUGCUUAUCCUGAAGGGUUCUGCACCCUGAGGAUGAAGUUCCUCCCUGUGCAGAGGUGACCAGGCUGAGGACACGCUGUCAGGAAUGGCUCAGUCCUCCUCAAAGCUGCAGAUCCUUGGCAGGUCCUCAGGUGGUGGCAGCAGAGAUAAGCGACAAGAGCGGAGUCAUCUGAGGUGAUGUUGGACACAGACAGUGGCAAGAAAGUGAUGGGCACACAGAGCGCACAGGGUAGGCGGAGUGUCUACUCUUCCAGCAUCUGAGCACUGUGUCAAGCCUGCCCCAUGUCUGGCCAUCGUGGUCAGGGUCAGCCUCCUCUUAGGACAGGGUCCAGGAAACCCUCAGGGACUGUUUCUUGCCAGACUUGGGGCCAGAAGUUCCAUCUCUCAUCUGGUGAGACCGUAACUCCAAGGUCACAUGUUUGUAGGGCUCCUGCCAGGCUUUGUCCCCAGGCCAGACUGACCGUCUCUGUGUUGCUGCUCGUCCUGCUGCAGAUGAUGAUGCUCCUGAGCCCAGCACCGUGGGAGGAGGAGUCCGAGCAGCCUGGAAGCAGGAAGCUGAAAGAGACAGAGACAGCUGAGGGCCGGGGUCCCUCCUCACUGUGUGCCUAACCUGUGUCACUUGAGGAGCCAGAGCUUAAAGUCUGAGGCUGACAGAGGGGUUGGGAAGUGAGGGGUGCCUGCAGAAAGGAGAGAGUCGCUGAGUGUGGGAGCCCCGGAUCCUGAAAAGACACGGACAGCAAAGCCCUGGACUAUGCACGUGUAGAAAGACUUUGAAAAGCCGAGCUACAGACUCAUUGUUCAUAUCCUCGCAUGAUCCACUGAGGAAGCCCUUGGAGCAAAGGGAAGUCCCCACACGGCCGCACUGCUGCGGGGUGAGGUCAGCGUGGGUGCUCCAGGAGGUGCCUGGGCUGUGCAGGAGGACGGGCCCCUGUGCUGUGCUGGGCACCGCCGUGCCGCUUCUCCCCAAGCGGGAAACGAGCUGCUGAGGAGGGUGAUUGGAGCCACCAGACACCUGGGUGCAGAGCUGUCAAACUCACACUGUCCCCCCAGAGCUCUCGACUCUUCUCGGGCAGUGGAGGUUGUCUCCCGUCCUGGGGGCCAAACUAAUCUAGGAACAAAUUGCUAGAAUAAUAUAUAUUAGUUAAGUUAAACAAGUCAGCCUGUGAUUAAAAGACUUUUCCAAAUGUCAGAAACUUGUGAUCUAAAGAUUGAAAGCCCUGAAACAUAACUGGCCGGCUGCCAUUCGAGAUUAACUCUUUGUCCUGGCCAACUUCCUGGGCUGCGACUAUUCCGAGUGUGACUUAAACACAUAUUUUCAGUUUUUGCAACAGGGCCUCUCAACCUUGGCGCUAUUGACAUUUUGGGCUGGAUAUUUCUUUGUUGCAGGGGGCUGGCCUGUGCACUGCAGAUGUUUCCAGCAUCCUUGGCCUCUGCCCACUAGAGGCCAGGGCAUAUGUCCCAUCUGCCCCCAGUGGUGACAACCAAAAAUGUCUCAGGCAUUGCCAAGUGGCCCUGAGGGACAGAAGCACCUGCGGUCCAGAACCGCUGGUAAUUAAACGUGUCCGUAAAUAUGAAUCAUGAUAUCACGGAGGUCAGGCCUCUGUGCCUCAGAGGAGGGAAUCGGUAACUACGAUAGUUUUCCAGGAAAGACAUGCCCAGAGAGACCCCAGCAGACCUGUGCCUUUGCUGGGAAAUCCUCAAUGGCUUUGCCCAAGUCUUGCCACCGCUGGGCACAAGACUGUGCAAAGGGCUGAUUUAUACAGUCAGCUUUCAGGCUGGCCUGGAAGACAGGACAAGGUGAAAAAACCAUGAGCGUAUUUGCCCUGCAGCUGUUGGUGGUAUUUUGGCUCGAGUCAAAACAGAAAUCCAAGUGAGGUGUGUCACUCAGACAUACAGCCAUUGCCUUGUCCCCAGCUCCUCACACAUGGGGUUGUGCGUGUGCCAGUGGCCCACAGUAUGCCACCAGAAGAGAGGCUGCGGUUCUGUGCUCGCUAGACCCGCAGUGCUCGGGCUGGCUUCCCGGCACCCUUCCACAGGCGGCCAGUUACCUCGGAGCGUUGCACAUCAGCAGAAGAAACGAACUGACUUCCGCUGAUCCACAAGCAGGGAGUCAGCCCCAGGUUCAGCCGGCAGCAGCAGAGGACCCGUACAAUGUAGGGCACCUCUCACACCACAGUGAGCCCACUGGGUUUGCACACGUGAACUGCAAAGUUCCCACCUGACUGACUACCCGUGAUCACACAGCCACGAUCGUGAGAAUGUCCAUCUGAAUGAGGGCACAGCACAAGCCCUCUUAACCGAGCUGGGCCUUAAUCAGUAGUGAACCUUCUGAACUCAUGCCCUUAAAACACAGGGCAGGCUCAAAUGACAGAUGGCUUUGGCCAAACAGACACUAGUCAUGAAGGCAAUGGACAGGCUGGACAACAUUCAGGACAAGGACUAUGGAAAUGUACCCGAGGCCAUGGGAUGUGGGGAAAGCACCCUGACUACACAGAGAAAAGAGGUCUCUGUGCAAACAGACUAAGAUUAGGAGGAAAUACCCAAAUUUCCACCUCCAGGGCUUUCCCAAGGAUAGCUAAGGCCUUGCUUACCUCCAAAGGAGGGUGGAUUUCACAGGGCUGAGUAAGAAACUGAGACCUGAGCUAUCAGGCCACAGGUCAGACCUGCUGGCUAUAGUGGGGCACACCCAGGAACAAUGUUCUUCCAAAUAAGUGUUUACACUGUAAUCCUAGCACCCAGGGAGGCUGAGGUAGGAGGAUCCCUUGAGCUCAGGAGUUGGAGACCAG